RNAcentral lists this ribosomal RNA (2109 nucleotides) under Escherichia coli. Its description in RNAcentral is "partial 23S ribosomal RNA". It matches the Rfam family "Bacterial large subunit ribosomal RNA", at positions 1 to 2136 of the family's 2925-position model. The record is from RNAcentral. Lineage: Bacteria; Pseudomonadati; Pseudomonadota; Gammaproteobacteria; Enterobacterales; Enterobacteriaceae.
GUUAAGCGACUAAGCGUACACGGUGGAUGCCCUGGCAGUCAGAGGCGAUGAAGGACGUGCUAAUCUGCGAUAAGCGUCGGUAAGGUGAUAUGAACCGUUAUAACCGGCGAUUUCCGAAUGGGGAAACCCAGUGUGUUUCGACACACUAUCAUUAACUGAAUCCAUAGGUUAAUGAGGCGAACCGGGGGAACUGAAACAUCUAAGUACCCCGAGGAAAAGAAAUCAACCGAGAUUCCCCCAGUAGCGGCGAGCGAACGGGGAGGAGCCCAGAGCCUGAAUCAGUGUGUGUGUUAGUGGAAGCGUCUGGAAAGGCGCGCGAUACAGGGUGACAGCCCCGUACACAAAAAUGCACAUGCUGUGAGCUCGAUGAGUAGGGCGGGACACGUGGUAUCCUGUCUGAAUAUGGGGGGACCAUCCUCCAAGGCUAAAUACUCCUGACUGACCGAUAGUGAACCAGUACCGUGAGGGAAAGGCGAAAAGAACCCCGGCGAGGGGAGUGAAAAAGAACCUGAAACCGUGUACGUACAAGCAGUGGGAGCCUCUUUUAUGGGGUGACUGCGUACCUUUUGUAUAAUGGGUCAGCGACUUAUAUUCUGUAGCAAGGUUAACCGAAUAGGGGAGCCGAAGGGAAACCGAGUCUUAACUGGGCGUUAAGUUGCAGGGUAUAGACCCGAAACCCGGUGAUCUAGCCAUGGGCAGGUUGAAGGUUGGGUAACACUAACUGGAGGACCGAACCGACUAAUGUUGAAAAAUUAGCGGAUGACUUGUGGCUGGGGGUGAAAGGCCAAUCAAACCGGGAGAUAGCUGGUUCUCCCCGAAAGCUAUUUAGGUAGCGCCUCGUGAAUUCAUCUCCGGGGGUAGAGCACUGUUUCGGCAAGGGGGUCAUCCCGACUUACCAACCCGAUGCAAACUGCGAAUACCGGAGAAUGUUAUCACGGGAGACACACGGCGGGUGCUAACGUCCGUCGUGAAGAGGGAAACAACCCAGACCGCCAGCUAAGGUCCCAAAGUCAUGGUUAAGUGGGAAACGAUGUGGGAAGGCCCAGACAGCCAGGAUGUUGGCUUAGAAGCAGCCAUCAUUUAAAGAAAGCGUAAUAGCUCACUGGUCGAGUCGGCCUGCGCGGAAGAUGUAACGGGGCUAAACCAUGCACCGAAGCUGCGGCAGCGACGCUUAUGCGUUGUUGGGUAGGGGAGCGUUCUGUAAGCCUGUGAAGGUGUGCUGUGAGGCAUGCUGGAGGUAUCAGAAGUGCGAAUGCUGACAUAAGUAACGAUAAAGCGGGUGAAAAGCCCGCUCGCCGGAAGACCAAGGGUUCCUGUCCAACGUUAAUCGGGGCAGGGUGAGUCGACCCCUAAGGCGAGGCCGAAAGGCGUAGUCGAUGGGAAACAGGUUAAUAUUCCUGUACUUGGUGUUACUGCGAAGGGGGGACGGAGAAGGCUAUGUUGGCCGGGCGACGGUUGUCCCGGUUUAAGCGUGUAGGCUGGUUUUCCAGGCAAAUCCGGAAAAUCAAGGCUGAGGCGUGAUGACGAGGCACUACGGUGCUGAAGCAACAAAUGCCCUGCUUCCAGGAAAAGCCUCUAAGCAUCAGGUAACAUCAAAUCGUACCCCAAACCGACACAGGUGGUCAGGUAGAGAAUACCAAGGCGCUUGAGAGAACUCGGGUGAAGGAACUAGGCAAAAUGGUGCCGUAACUUCGGGAGAAGGCACGCUGAUAUGUAGGUGAAGCGACUUGCUCGUGGAGCUGAAAUCAGUCGAAGAUACCAGCUGGCUGCAACUGUUUAUUAAAAACACAGCACUGUGCAAACACGAAAGUGGACGUAUACGGUGUGACGCCUGCCCGGUGCCGGAAGGUUAAUUGAUGGGGUCAGCGCAAGCGAAGCUCUUGAUCGAAGCCCCGGUAAACGGCGGCCGUAACUAUAACGGUCCUAAGGUAGCGAAAUUCCUUGUCGGGUAAGUUCCGACCUGCACGAAUGGCGUAAUGAUGGCCAGGCUGUCUCCACCCGAGACUCAGUGAAAUUGAACUCGCUGUGAAGAUGCAGUGUACCCGCGGCAAGACGGAAAGACCCCGUGAACCUUUACUAUAGCUUGACACUGAACAUUGAGCCUUGAUG